Chelonoidis abingdonii (Abingdon island giant tortoise) is the source of this 110-nucleotide ribosomal RNA. The record is from Ensembl. Lineage: Eukaryota; Metazoa; Chordata; Testudines; Testudinidae.
AUCUGCAGCCAAAUCACAUUGUGCUGUUAUACUUUAAGUUUACAUGCUAAGCAGGGAUGAUCUGCAUCAGUACUUGGAUGGGAGACCUUAAGGAAGAAGUGUUGUGGCCC